GUUCUAUGGGAUUCAGUUGAUUGUAGUUUGAUAUUUAGUUGGUAAAAUCCAAUUCGGAAUUAUCAAUUAGAUUAAUUAGAUUGCAAUCAAUGCACUUUCCAUAGAGCAAAACUGUGACCGAUAGCGUUGUUUUUCUGUCGUAAUGUUGAAUGUGACCAAUUCUUCGGAAUUGGUUUUAUAGCUCAUUGCAUGGUUAAAUGUAAUUUAUCGGUGAAUACGAUUGGUUAAUAUUAACUGUAGUUUAUAUUGAUUUAUUAAUAAUUGGCUAAUAAUAGACUGUUGUUAAUCGGUUAGUGUAGAUUAUUUUUGAUGGAUCAUAUCUAAAGUCGCAGUCUAUAUGUAGGUUACCUACUCGUCCCGUCUUGAAACACGGACCAAGGAGUUUUAUAUGAUCGCGAGUCAAAGGGCUUUACGAAACCCCAGGGCGUAAUUAAUGUAAAGGUUUGCUUUCGUAAACUGAGAUGUGACCUAUGAUAUUUUAUCAAUGUGCAACAUCUACCCGUCUAAAGGUGUUCGCAUCUGGGCGGAGUUUGAGCGAUCAUGUAGAGACCCGAAAGAUGGUGAACUAUGCUUGUGCAGGUUGAAGUCAGGGGAAACUCUGAUGGAGGACCGCCGCGGUUCUGACGUGCAAAUCGAUCGUCGGACAUGAGUAUAGGGGCGAAAGACUAAUCGAACCAUCUAGUAGCUGGUUCCCUCCGAAGUUUCCCUCAGGAUAGCUGGCGUUUGAUGUCGUAGUUUCACCUGGUAAAGCGAAUGAUUAGAAGUAUUGGGGACGAAAUGUCCUCAACUUAUUCUCAAACUUUAAAUGGGUUCGAAGCAUGUCUCUCUUCAUUGGAGAUGUGCAUUGAAUACGAAUGCCUAGUGGGCCAUUUUUGGUAAGCAGAACUGGCGAUGUGGGAUGAACCAAACAUUUAGUUAAGGUGCCUAACAUCACGCUCAUGAGAACCCACAAAAGGUGUUGGUUGAUAAAGACAGCAGGACGGUGGACAUGGAAGUCGUCAUCCGCUAAGGAGUGUGUAACAACUCACCUGCCGAAUCAACCAGCCCUGAAAAUGGAUGGCGCUGUAGCGUGAGACCUAUACUGAAUCGGUAUCGUAAGAUUUUCGAAUCGAGUAAACGGUAUCGUGUAGGAGGGUGCCGUGAUUGCUAAGAAGCUACUGGCGUGAGUCAGAGUGGAGCGGUCACGGGUACAGAUCUUGGUAGUAGUAGCAAUUAUUCAAGUGAGAUCCU
Molecule: ribosomal RNA, 1230 nt
Filed under: Reynoldsonia reynoldsonia
Lineage: Eukaryota; Metazoa; Platyhelminthes; Tricladida; Dugesiidae
Description: eukaryotic LSU rRNA
Rfam family: Eukaryotic large subunit ribosomal RNA
Source: RNAcentral